GAGGCAUUUUAUACAGAACUGGCACGUGUUCCGGUGACUGUGGCACACAUUUUUAGCAACUGAACAGUGAUUUUCCUUCCUGUUUGGGAGGAUGGUCAUUUUCAAACGUCUGUAAUUUUCAACUUGAAAAAUUAAUAUUGCACAAUGAGUUUUGCCUCAGGAACCCUUUGAAGCUGGAUUCUGAAGUUCGUCUCCCAUUACCCCCAGUAUGGGAACUCCUCAAACUUGAAGCAGCAGCUGUGAAGGCAUCUGAGACAAACAAUGUGCCUAUGCCAUGGAUUUGAAUAUUAAAGGGUUCCUUCUGUAUUGGAAUAGUAACUGGAAGAACAACCAAAUUCCUAUCGAAUGUGGACACACAGAGAGAAACAGCCAUAUCUCUCUGUGCAUGCCUGGGUAGCAGCCUUGCGGUGCUGUGCUGCCAGCUCACAUCUGGAGUAGUUCAUCACUGCCGAACAGAUGUUGCAGAGCGAGGUUCCAGCGGGAUUAUUGCUGAAAGCAGUAGUGGAUCAGCUAUGCCCUUGUGAAUCAUGGUGAAUCAUGGUUGCCACAACGGAGCACAUAGCAACGGAUGCCCUGCACAGAGCACUUCUCCCUUUAACACUCCUGAGAGCCCCAGUGGCGCCUGUGUGUCCCAAAUGGCAGAGCCUUCAUCCAGAGGCUGAUGAAGGCUAAACACUGAACUGAACUCCUGGUAUCCAGUUGCAGAGAGGGAGGAGUGAUGAGCAAAGGAGCCAAGACCAGGCUGGUGAAACCCACAGAAACAGCUGACCUGAACAAGGGGGAGCUCAAGGACACCAGACUGAUGGCUGAGAGGACAGCAUGGGACUGAUCCAGACCCCCUGAAUGUGGGUGUCAGUGAGGAGGCCUUGGCAAUUUAUGGGGUCUUGGGUAGUAGAUCAGUAUUUAUCCCUGGCACAUGAAUGGACUUUGGAAGCCCAUUCCACAUGGAGGGAUGCUCUUUCAGUCUGGACACAUGGGUGAGGACCUAGGCCCUUCCUGGGAUGAUAAGACAAGCUUUAGAGAUCCCCCACGGAGGGUCUUACCCUCCCUGGGGAACGUAGGGGAAUGGGGUGGAGGCUUGGCGAGGGGUGGGGGAAGAGGGCAGGGAGAGGCAGCUGGAUUGACAUG
RNAcentral lists this long non-coding RNA (1128 nucleotides) under Cricetulus griseus (Chinese hamster). Its description in RNAcentral is "lncRNA (ENSCGRG00015036442.1)". Lineage: Eukaryota; Metazoa; Chordata; Mammalia; Rodentia; Cricetidae. The record is from RNAcentral.